AAACACAGCUGGAGACAGCCUGUCAGCAACCAAGACCCCUUCCGCUUUUUCUCUUCCUCCAGUUUUGUUUGCAGUCUCUCUCUUUCCCUCUCUCUCAUCCUACUUCGUCUUCUUUCUUCUCGUUCUUCUUCACGGAUUAGGGCUUUCGAUCUUCUUUUGCAGCUUUUAGAAUCAUCAUUGGAGUUCAGCGAAUCGAGAUUCAUCUAUCGGAGAGCUCUGGUUUCAUCUUUUUUUCGGUUCGAUUUGGUACUGACGUACUGUUUUGGUCUAAAAAUGCUUGAAAUCAGGGUUUUUCAUCUCUAGGGAAAGAGGGUCAGUUUUUGAGACCGAAAUGCUGGCCACUGGCGAGGUCUCCUCACAGGUGGUCUAAAAUGGAUGGUUGACCUUGAACCCAUGAGUGGAAUUCUUCAGACUC
This is a long non-coding RNA of Telopea speciosissima, 415 nucleotides long. RefSeq lists it as uncharacterized. The record is from RefSeq and is a predicted model, not a curated record. The transcript has 2 exons. Lineage: Eukaryota; Viridiplantae; Streptophyta; Magnoliopsida; Proteales; Proteaceae.